RNAcentral lists this unclassified non-coding RNA (250 nucleotides) under plant metagenome. RNAcentral's name for it is "partial contains small subunit ribosomal RNA, internal transcribed spacer 1, and 5.8S ribosomal RNA". The stretch from base 1 to 53 matches the Rfam family "Eukaryotic small subunit ribosomal RNA", at positions 1778 to 1831 of the family's 1831-position model. The record is from RNAcentral.
GGAAGUAAAAGCGUAACAAGGUCUCCGUAGGUGAACCUGCGGAGGGAUCAUUACAGAGUUCAUGCCCUACCGGGUAGAUCUCCCACCCUAUGUUAUUAUUACUUAGUUGCUUUGGCGGGCCGUUAGGCUCCGGCCCGACUACCGGCCCCGGCUGGUAAGCGCCCGCCAGAGGACCCAAAACCCUGAAUAUUAGUGUCGUCUGAGUACUAUAUAAUAGUUAAAACUUUCAACAACGGAUCUCUUGGUUCUG